This is a long non-coding RNA of Crocodylus porosus (Australian saltwater crocodile), 1745 nucleotides long. The record is from Ensembl. NCBI's taxonomy places the organism in Eukaryota, Metazoa, Chordata, Crocodylia, Crocodylidae.
CAGAAACUGUUCUCCAUUUUCUAUUCUGGGUUGAAGGCAGAUUCUAACCAGAACUGGAAACGAUCAAGCUGCAUCUUCUAAAGUUAACAGGGUUUAGAUGAGUUUUACAGUAUGCCCUGGCUGCCAGCAGAAGUUAACCAGUUUGGACAAAGCAGAGGAGUGAAGUCUGAAAUUCAGGAACAUAGGCUGCUGUUGCAAAGCCAUGGGAGAGCUCUUCUUUCUAGGUUACCCUUCGGGUCAAGACCAGCACUUAUCCAGUCAGAUUCCACCUCUUCUUCCCUGGUAGGUGUGCCCUAAAGAACUCCAGCUUAAAUGAUUUCUCAGCUAUUUAGCCCUUGCUGAGAUAGUUUAAAAGAAUGGGUAGUUUUGUCCUAUGUAGACAAUCCCACGUGCUGUGACCCUCCCAGGAACCAGACACACUCUAUAACUUUACUGUAUAGUAGAGGCUUGCUUGUUCAACAAGUCUUCAUACUGGUGUGAAUCUGCUUCAAAAAAAGUCAGAAUUCAAUGUGAUAUAGAAGCAGAUGCACAAAACCCUCAAAGGAUAUAUAUAAGCUAAAGCAAUACUGACAAAAGACAAAUCAGCAAUCAGCUCCAGGCUGCUGAGCAGCUUCUGUGAAAUGACUGCAGUCAUCUUAGCCCUGUUUCCACUGAACAGCUAUUAUCAGGCCAAUGCCACCAGGAAAGCUGAGGCAAACAGGCACAGCAGAAGAACUAAUCUCUUCCUUGCAGUUUGGGGCUGAAACUUUUUUUUUUGGUGGGGUGGGGUGGGUUGCAGAUGCAAUGGCAUGGGCCAGCUGCUGAGUUUCAAGCUACGGAGCACAUUCAGUUCACAUCCAAGUAACAGCUGUUAUGCUAAGUCACAGCAACAGAGAAAUGUCUACUACAUUAGUGGCGUAAAAUGACAUCCAACAGCAAACUGGACAAGACUGCAGUACAAAAGCCAUCUGGGCUGACAUCAUCUCAGUCCACAUUUACUAGAUGAGGGACAACCAACUGUUCAUAGGUUUGCAACUAAUGAGGUAGGUUAAGAGUUCAGGUAAAAAUUCUUUCUUGAAGGAGAAAGUGAGGGACAGGAUUAUGGCUAGGAGCAGUUCUGUACAGUAUCUGCACUGAUUCCUGCUCUUCAAGAAGUCAGCUGUACAUGGACUUUUUCCUUCUGGUUUUAUUAUGUUUGUUUUCAAAGCUUAGAUUGAGGAACAAGCCACUGGAUUGCACAUAAUUUGUGGGUAAACUGGAAAAUCCUGUUUUGAAUACCCACUGAAAAGACUGAAUUCAAAUGUUAGCACUGUCAAUCACUACAGCACAACAUGCUGUUUUUCUAACCCUCCUGGACAAGGCCAUGUUUUACCAAAGACAGAGGGCUUGUCUACACAUGCAUUUAUGCCAUCUUAAAUUUACUGUGCAGUAAAUUACUGUGCAGUAAGUGAGAAUAGGCCAGCAUCUACAUAUGCAGGCAUUAAAGUACAUUAACGCUGUGUGUGGACUGGCUUGGAACUAAAGUUAGUCCAAAGUCAGUCCACACAUAGUGUUACUGUGCAGUAAGGCAUAUAGUAGAGUACAGUAAGGCAUACAGUAACUAAUUGGGUGUAAAUUUGGUACCCGCUUGAUGCAAGUAUCAAAUUUACGCUCAAGUCAGUGUAAAUCACCAUAUUUACUAUGCAGUACAGGUGUGCAUGUGUAGAUAUGCACCUGUAUUACACAGUAAUUUAAGUUACUGAGCAAUAAAUGUGCACAUGUAGACA